AUAUUAGAGCAAAAUCUGAAUAUUCUGAGCUGGAAUGUUGGAGGCUUGAAUUGUCCUGACCGUCGUGCUGCCACUCACGAGACCAUUGCUGCUACUCCGUGCCACCUCGUAUGUUUACGAGAGACCAAGCUCGAGCUUGUUGACCCUUCCAUCGCCACUUCUCUAGGUAGAUACAGAUUGAAGAGUUUUUCUCAACGCUCGGCUCUUGGCACCCGGUGGGGCAUCCUCCUUCUCUGGGAUGAGAAUUUUGUCACUGUCCAUGAUGUUAGCUUCGGAGCCGUUUUCCUCUCGGCCAAGGUCACCAUCACCUCUUCGAGCACAUCCUUCAAGCUUACAACCUUUUACGGCCCGGCGCGAAGCAAUCUUAAAAACACCUUCUUCCAAGAAUUAAUUAAUGAGAAGCCCCCUCAUGGUGAUAAGUGGUUGGUAAAUGGUGAUUUCAACCAAAUAUACCGUGCUAGAGACAAGAACCGUGCAAAUGUGGAUCGGAGCCGCAUUGUUCGUUUUCGCAGCACCCUCAGUGCGUGUGAGUUAAAAGAGAUACACCUCCAAAAUCAAUAA
This 561-nucleotide ribosomal RNA is filed under the name Triticum aestivum (bread wheat). RNAcentral describes it as "partial small subunit ribosomal RNA". Lineage: Eukaryota; Viridiplantae; Streptophyta; Magnoliopsida; Poales; Poaceae. The record is from RNAcentral.